GUCUAUGGCCAUGCCACCCUGAACAAGCCUGAUCCUGUCUGAUCUCAGAAACUAAGCAGGGUUGGGCCUGGUUAGCACUUGGAUGGGAGACCACCUAGGAAGACUGGGUGCUGUAGGCA
Molecule: ribosomal RNA, 119 nt
Filed under: Pteropus alecto (black flying fox)
Lineage: Eukaryota; Metazoa; Chordata; Mammalia; Chiroptera; Pteropodidae
Source: RNAcentral